Columba livia (rock pigeon) is the source of this 5280-nucleotide long non-coding RNA. RefSeq lists it as uncharacterized. The record is from RefSeq and is a predicted model, not a curated record. The transcript has 11 exons. Lineage: Eukaryota; Metazoa; Chordata; Aves; Columbiformes; Columbidae.
UUCUGUCACACUACAUAAGUGGCUACAAGCAAAAAAUAUUAAAGUAGCAUUGAGGAGAGUGUAAUAUUAAUGUAACAGGUGCAAUCAAUCUUCCAUUUUAUUUAAGGUCUUUGUGAACCUGCUGAUACAAUUUGGGCUGGCUCUUUUAGGUGAAAUGGGGGCAGGUGGCACGGGAAACAACUGUUAUUUAGGUGAAGUAAUUAUUUGGUGGUGAUGGGAGAGAAGAUAAAGUUCAGUAGAGCUCCUUUCUGAGAACUGCUGCUGGGCAGUGGCUGUGAAGGCUUUUGAAGUAUAGAUGCUGGUGUUCUCAACAAUUCAAAUAAAAUUGUGGGAAAAAAACAGUGUAUGGAAGAGUCAACCAAAGACUGACUGACUUCAGCUCAAACAAGUUCUGUCUCUCACCCUCAAAGGAAGGAACAGUCUGCACAACAUAAGUAUCCAGAAGUCUGCAAAAGCAAACAUGCCCAUCAGCUGCUGGGUGAAUUCUGUGAGACUUCCUGAUUGGUUCCCGACUUUUGGAGGAUAAAUCUACACUGAAUUGUAACUGAUUUUCCUCCAGAAAGCGUGUUGAUUCAUACAGCAAAAUCCUUCUGGAGCACCGGCUUGUGUCCUAGAUUUCCCAUUCUGAUGAUGAUACAAGUGACAUUGCCAUUCACAUUCAAAGCAGAAACAUAAUUAGGCUGAUAAACAGAGCUGCAUUAUAAACACUUCUUCUGAUGGAAAAGGAUUUGUUUCUACUAAGGCUGAUGCCUCCAUCAUCUUAGUAUUUAAAAAAAAAAAAAAAAAAUUAAAAUGUUCUCAGUUAAUCCUGAACGUUUUCAAGAUGAAAGUCAGAAAGAUGGAUGAGCACAGAAAAACCACCAUAAUAUGUGAGCUUACUUUUUCCGUACUUCAAAAUGGAAAUUCAUCCUUGUCCUGAAUAUCUGGAGGUGACCACAAAAGAGAAGAAAGAUAUUAUAACUAUAUAACAUGCUCUCAGUGAUACCAUAAAGCUUGGUGAUCAAUACCUCCAUGUUGAAAAAAGCUGAAUGAAGACAUGAGAUACCAGAAUUAUUUCAGGACAAGAGUAGAAAGGUCAUUUCCCAAUCAGAGGCAUUGAUUUGCUUUACGAAUUUGAAGAAGGAUUUGAAGAAAUUCAAGAGGGAUCUGAUAGAGACAAUCUGUCCAUCUCUCAAUGUGAUCCACUCACGUAGAAGCAGGCUACCAUGGAACAAAAAACAAUUUUCAGAAGACAAUCGGUACUUCAUGAACUUAGACCAAAGGGUUUGUGCUUUAACCCACAUGAAAGAUGACUUGGUCAGCCUGUUCCCAUAGCUUGGGCAGCAGUGUGGUUCUGAAACAUCUGUCCUGUGCCAAAGUGGUCUGCUCAUACACAUGUAAGUAAACUCAUUGAUUCUUGUGUACUGCAAUAUCUAUAGGCAGUGCUUUUUUUGUAGUUUGGAUGAGAGUUGAGAAGGUCCAGGAAAAUGGUGAAAAUAUUUAAGCUUUGUUUUCUUAAGACACUGUAAGACAGAAAAAGUCACGACUCCAAGCAAGCAGGAGUUAUUAAACAAAACUUAUCUAGAAGUUUACAUUUACAUAUAGGUAAAUGCAAUCCUGCCUAUAAAUCCACAGAAAUGACCUUCUAAAAGGAAAACUCCCGAGUUUCAUAGGGCGUAGUUUUAGUAUUCUUCUGGAAAACAAACAAACAGCAACAACAAAAAAACAACAGCAAACAUCAGUAGCCUAGACAGAGAAAAGCAGUGGCAAGAGAAUGGCUUCUUGGAGGAGCGAGCUAGGAAGGUACAUCCCUCAGUCAGAGCCUGGCCUUUAAGAGUUGCUACUUGCUGUCCCCAGCCAAGAAUUUCCUGGGAAAAUUUGUUUAUCAGUUUAUCAUUUGAGACAUGGGCCUGCAGAUCUUGCUAUAGAGAGAAAACUCCUAUACAUUUUGCUUUGACCAUGUUGGACAAGGACAAAGAGUAUCAUGGAAUUUCUUGCAGGCCUGGUCACUAGCACAGUCAUUACAUAUCAUUUAGCCUUCAUGUUUUCAGAACAGCCCCUUUCUGCCCCUCUCCUUCAACAUGGGUUAUUGCUGUCAUUGAUAUUCCCUGCCCUGGCUCAUCAUUAAGCCUAGAGCCAGCAGAGUCAGGUUUACUUUGCUGCUAAGUUUUUCAGAAAAAUGCCUAAGACCAGUAUUAAGCCUGAAACAACUCACUUUAAAGCAGUGGUUGGCAUACCCUGAUCAGAAACCCUGCCUCUGCUGCUUGUUACUGUGCCUUUACAUCACAAACACCACAGGUGUGCAAAAUGCAAACCACAGAGGAGGUCAGGGCACUGCAGAUGAGUGUCAAAGUUGCCUGUGAGUAUGAGAAGAAAAGGCAGUGAUGCUGAUGACGGAGGCAGCAGUUGGCUGUCGAGCCUCGGUCUCUGGCACAUUACACAAACUGCACUUUGUGUCACAUUCCUUGCGUGCACCUGCCAAUUCUGUAAAGCACAGAAUUUGCUGAGGGCAAGUUUCAGAUGGUCUCUUACUGUUUUGUGAUUAUUUGUUUUUUUUAGAAAAGAAAGUCAUUAUUUUUCUUUGCAAGGCUGUAAAAAUAAGAAAUAGAUGAGGAGGAUGGAAAGUAACUAUUGAAGUAAAAAAUAAAAUAUACGUUAAUUGGUACCUUUUAUUCAACUGUGUUGUAAUACUUUGGUAUAAGGUUGUCCCUGGGGUUCAAAAAUGAAGGUGCCCUUCAUGUAUAGGAUAAAGCUAUCCUUGGCUAUCACUGUUUACUUAGCCCUUAAGUAAAAAAAUGUUGAAGAAGAAAUGAGCAGGAGUCAGUGAUCUUUAGCAGAGUAGAAUGAUCAGUCCUGAAUUAUGUGGCUUAGGCAUGGACAUACAUGAUCAGUGUUUCAACUGAGUGAGGGGAAAAAAAAUCUAACUUGGUCUAAAAGGCAAAAGAGAAGCAGUAGGAUAUACAGCAAAGGAAUAUUUCAACCAACUGGUGUAAAACAGCGUUGGUGGCAAAAGUGAAUGCAGAACAGGAUUCUGCAAAAAAAUAACUGGUAAAACAAAGGAUGUACACUUACUAGCAGUAUCUGAAAAGAAAUAGUAUGUGAUGAUGGUCUAUUUCUUGCAGCUUUGAAUGAAAUACCUUUAGUUCCUACACUGUCCAGGUCCCUGGAAUGGAACUGUUGCCAGAUGUGUGUGGCACUUUGCAUUUAGAGGUGUAAAACAUUUCACAGCAUCUUUAGGACUCUGCCGUAGAAAAGCACCUCAUUGCAGCAAUUCCAUUCAUUUACAUGAGCAUGAGAUCAGCCAGUCAGAGCUUAGGGAAAUUUGGUUCAGAAACUGAGCUGUGUUGUAUUACUGUUACGGUUUUGAAAACCAUUCAAAUGGGUUUGGAAUGCUUUGCUGUUUAUCAGUCUGGGCCGUAAUUUAUUGUACAAACAUUCCUGUCUUUAAAUCCAUAAAUUAAUCUCUUUUUUUUUUUCCUGAGAGACUUGAUAUCAGAGAGAUAAAGAGUUAAAAAAAACUACAUUAACAUUUUUGACAGUAUGUAAAACUCUGAAUCAUCUAAAAAUUCUCCUCAGAUUCAGUUCCAGAUUCAGCCUUAGAAGACCUCAGACAGUAACUUUUAAUGGAAACACUGCAAAACUUAGUAGUCCCUCUGUUUUAUAUUUAAAAAUACAAACACAUAGGAAAAAAAAAUAUACAUAUAUAUAACUUUAGGUUUAUAUAGUAAUAUGAGGAAGUAAAUAAAGAAUAAGCAUGAGAAAUGUCUCUGAAAGAAAAGUCUGAGUAUCCCUCCUUUUAGGAAGCCACAGUUUAACUGAAUAUUUAUCAGGCUGCCUCCAGCUAAAGUAUGCUGUUACUGUACAUGGGAUGAAAUAAAGCAAAAGAAAAACAAAACCCCUGUGACUUACAACAUUUACAUAUGCAGGGAUUCCCCUUUCUUCUAGUUGUGUUAUUUUUAGUUGUCCUGUUGAAAUAAUGCUCCUUGUUUUCUUUGAAUUUCAGUUGAAGUAAGAAACUGAAAGCAAGCUAAGACUUAGAGAAAGCACCACAUCUAAACUGUAUUUAGUGGUUAGUGUUAAGAAAGAUAAUUGUGGACAUAACAAGAAGAUAUUGAUGCUUAUGUUUGAGCCCUUGUCCAACAUGCCCCAGGACUACAUUUCCUGCUUAAAUUAAUAUCAGAAACAGAAUAAUUAUUUAAUAGUAUUUAGAAAUUAAGCUAAAGUUAUUUCAUGGAUUUGGCUGGUUUAAAGUUAAUACUAUUUCAAGAACAUGAUUGUUCUCUUAUUUAAAUGUAAUUUUGACUGCUGGGUAAGCUAAGACAAUAAAUACAUCAUUUUACAUCACAGCUCUUUAUUUUUAAACCCCCUCCCUUAUUCUUCAGAAGACAAAAACUAUAGGAGUUUAAUCUCAGAUGUUUCUGCUUUUGCAUCAGCUGAAAGGCACAAAACAUUAUGGAAAACCUCAUCAUCCUCUCUGUAGACCUUGUAUUCUUUGCAGACCCUGAUAAACAGCUGGUGGGGGUUUUCCCUGAGUUGGUCCAGGACAGGUUUUGGAAAUGUGGUUGUUUUCACAGCAAGGUGCUGGGCUGUUUCUAGAUUUACUAGGUUGAGUCUGUGUCUGGGGGAGGUGUUAACCUCUGUAUUAUCUCCUGUGUCUAACUGAUGCUUCUGCACUGCUUCUUAACACUCCUGAAGCCAGAUAGGCGGCUGGGAUGUUCCUUACCUGCUCCACAACAUGCACCUUGCCACAUGUACCCCUGUAAGGCCAUGCAGCUUCCUAUGGCUCAGCAUGAGGGAUCUUUAGCCCCAGCGCAUUGCUCACAGCAGCCUGCCAUCCACCUCUCAUCUGGCUCAGUAUAGCCUGUAAGUACCCUGACUUCUUAUUCUCAGAGAUUUUCUCCAAGAUGUGAACAUCUCGAAUGCAAUAUUUGAUCCUUAAUACUGUAUCUUCACUGUUUUUACCUAUUUGGCUGUGUUUUUAAAACACUAGGCUAUUUUGGGAACUUGUAAGAAAUACAUAAAGGUGUUUUGGUAAUUUAAUUUACUUUUUCACUGCCUGGUGAGCUGCUUGUAGUGAGAACGGAAGCAGAGAAGAUUGUUAGUGCACCGUGCCUUCAGCUAUCCCAGAACUAAGUCAGAAGCUCUUCCAUGUAGCCAGUGGGAGGGUUACAUUUAAAACCUAUGAAGACAACCCUGAAAAGACUAGAUUAGUUCUGAUGUGUUAUUUCAUCCUUUACUCAUUAUACAAGCAGCAGAUGGUUCAUCAUGUUAUAUUUUAUUGACCUACAGGAAGUGAUGGAA